UGGGGAAUUUUGGACAAUGGGCGAAAGCCUGAUCCAGCAAUGCCGCGUGUGUGAAGAAGGCCUUCGGGUUGUAAAGCACUUUUGUCCGGAAAGAAAUCCUUGGCUCUAAUACAGUCGGGGGAUGACGGUACCGGAAGAAUAAGCACCGGCUAACUACGUGCCAGCAGCCGCGGUAAUACGUAGGGUGCAAGCGUUAAUCGGAAUUACUGGGCGUAAAGCGUGCGCAGGCGGUUUGCUAAGACCGAUGUGAAAUCCCCGGGCUCAACCUGGGAACUGCAUUGGUGACUGGCAGGCUAGAGUAUGGCAGAGGGGGGUAGAAUUCCACGUGUAGCAGUGAAAUGCGUAGAGAUGUGGAGGAAUACCGAUGGCGAAGGCAGCCCCCUGGGCCAAUACUGACGCUCAUGCACGAAAGCGUGGGGAGCAAACAGGAUUAGAUACCCUGGUAGUCCACGCCCUAAACGAUGUCAACUAGUUUGUUGGGGAUUCAUUUCCUUAGUAACGUAGCUAACGCGUGAAGUUGACCGCCUGGGGAGUACGGUCGCAAGAUUAAAACUUAAAGG
RNAcentral lists this ribosomal RNA (560 nucleotides) under uncultured bacterium. RNAcentral describes it as "partial 16S ribosomal RNA". It matches the Rfam family "Bacterial small subunit ribosomal RNA", at positions 355 to 907 of the family's 1533-position model. The record is from RNAcentral.